This 373-nucleotide ribosomal RNA is filed under the name uncultured bacterium. RNAcentral's name for it is "bacterial SSU rRNA". It matches the Rfam family "Bacterial small subunit ribosomal RNA", at positions 525 to 896 of the family's 1533-position model. The record is from RNAcentral.
ACGGAGGUGGCAAGCGUUGUUCGGAAUUACUGGGCGUAAAGGGCGCGUAGGCGGCAUGGCAAGUCAGAUGUGAAAGCCCCGAGCUUAACUCGGGAAUUGCAUCUGAAACUGCUUUGCUUGAGUCCUGGAGGGGGUAGUGGAAUUCCCAGUGUAGCGGUGAAAUGCGUAGAUAUUGGGAGGAACACCUGCGGCGAAGGCGGCUACCUGGACAGUGACUGACGCUGAGGCGCGAAAGCUAGGGGAGCGAACGGGAUUAGAUACCCCGGUAGUCCUAGCUGUAAACGAUGGGCACUUGGUGUUGGGGGUAUUGAGUCCCUCGGUGCCGGAGUUAACACGUUAAGUGCCCCGCCUGGGGAGUACGGUCGCAAGACUG